GACGAACGCUGGCGGCGUGCUUAACACAUGCAAGUCGAACGGAAAGGCCUCUUUCGGGUGGUACUCGAGUGGCGAACGGGUGAGUAACACGUGAGUAGCCUGCCCUUGACUUUGGGAUAACUUCAGGAAACUGGGGCUAAUACCGGAUAGGAGCUCCUGCUGCAUGGUGGGGGUUGGAAAGUUUCGGCGGUUGGGGAUGGACUCGCGGCUUAUCAGCUUGUUUGUGGGGUAGUGGCUUACCAAGGCUUUGACGGGUAGCCGGCCUGAGAGGGUGACCGGCCACAUUGGGACUGAGUGACGGACCAGACUGCUACGGGCGGGAGCAGUGGGGAAUAUUGCACAAGGGGUGGGCGCCUGCUGCAGCGACGACGUGCGCGGGAUGACGGCCUUCGGGUUGUAAACCGACUUCGUUCCUGACGAAGCAUUGUGUGACGGUAGUGGGUAAAGAAGCACCGGCUAACUACGUG
This 467-nucleotide ribosomal RNA is filed under the name uncultured bacterium. Its description in RNAcentral is "partial 16S ribosomal RNA". It matches the Rfam family "Bacterial small subunit ribosomal RNA", at positions 28 to 507 of the family's 1533-position model. The record is from RNAcentral.